ACAGGGAUUGCCCUAGUAACGGCGAGUGAAGCGGCAACAGCUCAAAUUUGAAAUCUGGCGUCUUUGGCGUCCGAGUUGUAAUUUGCAGAGGGCGCUUUGGUAUUGGCAGCGGUCCAAGUUCCUUGGAACAGGACGUCACAGAGGGUGAGAAUCCCGUACGUGGUCGCUAACCUUUACCGUGUAAAGCCCCUUCGACGAGUCGAGUUGUUUGGGAAUGCAGCUCUAAAUGGGAGGUAAAUUUCUUCUAAAGCUAAAUACUGGCCAGAGACCGAUAGCGCACAAGUAGAGUGAUCGAAAGAUGAAAAGCACUUUGGAAAGAGAGUUAAAAAGCACGUGAAAUUGUUGAAAGGGAAGCGCUUGCAGCCAGACUUGCCUGUAGUUGCUCAUCCGGGUUUUUACCCGGUGCACUCUUCUAUAGGCAGGCCAGCAUCAGUUUGGGCGGUUGGAUAAAGGUCUCUGUCAUGUACCUCUAUUCGGGGAGAACUUAUAGGGGAGACGACAUGCAACCAGCCUGGACUGAGGUCCGCGCAUCUGCUAGGAUGCUGGCGUAAUGGCUGUAAGCGGCCCGUCUUGAAACACGGACCAAGGAGUCUAACAUCUAUGCGAGUGUUUGGGUGUCAAGCCCGAGCGCGUAAUGAAAGUGAACGGAGGUGGGAACCUUUCGGGGUGCACCAUCGACCGAUCCUGAUGUCUUCGGAUGGAUUUGAGUAAGAGCAUAGCUGUUGGGACCCGAAAGAUGGUGAACUAUGCUUGAAUAGGGUGAAGCCAGAGGAAACUCUGGUGGAGGCUCGCAGCGGUUCUGACGUGCAAAUCGAUCGUCAAAUUUGGGCAUAGGGGCGAAAGACUAAUCGAACUAUCUAGUAGCUGGUUCCUGCCGAA
Molecule: ribosomal RNA, 879 nt
Filed under: Sclerophomella vincetoxici
Lineage: Eukaryota; Fungi; Ascomycota; Dothideomycetes; Pleosporales; Didymellaceae
Description: Calophoma vincetoxici partial large subunit ribosomal RNA
Rfam family: Eukaryotic large subunit ribosomal RNA
Source: RNAcentral